CGCGUAGGUGGUUCUGUAUGUCUACCGUGAAAGCGUACGGCUCAACCGUAUUUUGUCGGUAGAAACUGCAGGACUUGAGGCUGGGAGGGGGCUGGUGGAAUUCCCUGUGUAGCGGUGAAAUGCGUAGAGAUGGGGGAGGAACACUCGUGGCGAAGGCGGCCAGCUAGACCAGUUCUGACACUGAGGCGCGACAGCGUGGGAGCAAACA
This 208-nucleotide ribosomal RNA is filed under the name uncultured bacterium. RNAcentral's name for it is "partial 16S ribosomal RNA". It matches the Rfam family "Bacterial small subunit ribosomal RNA", at positions 568 to 774 of the family's 1533-position model. The record is from RNAcentral.